AUGGCGCCUAGAGCGGCGGAGAAGGCGCCUGUCUCCCCGCCCACCGGCCUCGGCCUCGGCGUCGGCGGCGGGAUCGGGGUCGUCGCCGGCGGCGCGCACUACAGGGGCGUCCGGAAGCGCCCGUGGGGACGCUACGCCGCGGAGAUCCGCGACCCGGCCAAGAAGAGCAGGGUGUGGCUCGGCACGUACGACACCGCGGAGGAGGCCGCGCGCGCCUACGACACCGCCGCCCGCGAGUUCCGCGGCGCCAAGGCGAAGACCAACUUCCCGUUCCCUUCGUCGUCGUUGUCCCCUGUCGCCGCCGCCGGCGGCGGCGGCGGCAGCCCGAGCAGCGACAGCACCUUGGACUCGAGCGGCGGAGGGAGCGGCGGCUGCGCCCAGGCGCCCAUGCAGGCCAUCCCGCUGCCGCCCGCCCUCGACCUGGACCUCUUCCACCGCGCGGCGGUCGUCACGGCCGUCGCCGGCGGCGGCAUGCGCUUCCCAUUCAACGGUUACCCGGUGGCGCCGCGCCAGCCCCUGCACCCGUACUUCUUCUACGAACAGGCCGCGGCCGCCGCGGCGGCGUCGGCGUCGGGGUACCGCGCGCUGAAGGUGGCGCAGCCGGUCACCGUGGCGGCCGUUGCGCAGAGCGACUCCGACUCCUCGUCGGUCGUUGAUCUGUCCCCGUCGCCCCCCGCGGUGACAGCGCAUAAGGCGGUCGCGUUUGAUCUGGAUCUCAACCGGCCGCCGCCUUCCGAGGACUAG
This 744-nucleotide ribosomal RNA is filed under the name Triticum aestivum (bread wheat). Its description in RNAcentral is "partial small subunit ribosomal RNA". Lineage: Eukaryota; Viridiplantae; Streptophyta; Magnoliopsida; Poales; Poaceae. The record is from RNAcentral.